RNAcentral lists this ribosomal RNA (357 nucleotides) under uncultured bacterium. RNAcentral's name for it is "bacterial SSU rRNA". It matches the Rfam family "Bacterial small subunit ribosomal RNA", at positions 29 to 376 of the family's 1533-position model. The record is from RNAcentral.
AACGAACGCUGGCGGCGCGCUUAACACAUGCAAGUCGAACGAGAAGCUGUAGCAAUACAGUUGUAAAGUGGCAAACGGGUGAGUAAUGCGUGGGUAAUCUACCCUAGGGUGGGGAAUAACUCCUCGAAAGGGGAGCUAAUGCCGACAUGUGCGCCACUCUCGCAAGGGAGUGAUGGAAAGCCGUACCGUGGGUGCGGCGCCCAAGGAUGAGCUCACGUCCUAUCAGCUGUUGGCGGGGUAACGGCCCACCAAGGCUGCGACGGGUAGCUGGUCUGAGAGGACGACCAGCCACACUGGCACUGCGACACGGGCCAGACUCCUACGGGAGGCAGCAGUGAGGAAUAUUGCGCAAUGGAC